Molecule: ribosomal RNA, 254 nt
Filed under: uncultured bacterium
Lineage: Bacteria
Description: partial 16S ribosomal RNA
Rfam family: Bacterial small subunit ribosomal RNA
Source: RNAcentral
UACGUAGGGUGCAAGCGUUGUCCGGAUUUACUGGGCGUAAAGGGCGCGUAGGCGGCCAGCGCAAGUCAGUUGUGAAAUCUCCGAGCUUAACUCGGAAAGGUCAACUGAUACUGCGCGGCUAGAGUGCAGAAGGGGCAACUGGAAUUCUCGGUGUAGCGGUGAAAUGCGUAGAUAUCGAGAGGAACACCUGCGGCGAAGGCGGGUUGCUGGGCUGACACUGACGCUGAGGCGCGAAAGCUAGGGGAGCGAACGGG